RNAcentral lists this ribosomal RNA (525 nucleotides) under uncultured bacterium. Its description in RNAcentral is "bacterial SSU rRNA". It matches the Rfam family "Bacterial small subunit ribosomal RNA", at positions 396 to 911 of the family's 1533-position model. The record is from RNAcentral.
GCCGCGUGAGUGAGGAAGGUUUUCGGACCGUAAAGCUCUGUCGAGCGGGAAGAAAUGCAUGGUGGCUAAUAUCCAUCAUGCUUGACGGUACCGCUAAAGGAAGCACCGGCUAACUCCGUGCCAGCAGCCGCGGUAAUACGGGGGGUGCAAGCGUUGUUCGGAAUUAUUGGGCGUAAAGAGCGUGUAGGCGGCUGAAUAAGUCAGAUGUGAAAUCCCUGGGCUUAACCCAGGACGUGCAUUUGAAACUAUUCAGCUUGAGUAGGGGAGAGGAAAGUGGAAUUCCUGGUGUAGAGGUGAAAUUCGUAGAUAUCAGGAGGAACACCGGUGGCGAAGGCGACUUUCUGGCCCUAUACUGACGCUGAGACGCGAGAGCGUGGGUAGCAAACAGGAUUAGAUACCCUGGUAGUCCACGCUGUAAACGAUGUUCACUAGGUGUUGGGGGUAUUGACCCUCUCAGUGCCGCGGCUAACGCAUUAAGUGAACCGCCUGGGGAGUACGGUCGCAAGAUUAAAACUCAAAGGAAUU